Molecule: non-coding RNA, 72 nt
Organism: Phrynosoma platyrhinos (Desert horned lizard)
Lineage: Eukaryota; Metazoa; Chordata; Lepidosauria; Squamata; Phrynosomatidae
Source: the annotation of a GenBank genome assembly
GCCAGUGUAGUAUAGUGGCUUGGGUGUCGGACUAGGACUCUGGAGAUCAGGGUUCAAAUCCCUGCUCAGCCA